UGCUGCAGCGCCCCAGGAGUUCUAC
RNAcentral lists this non-coding RNA (25 nucleotides) under Mus musculus (house mouse). The record is from RNAcentral. Lineage: Eukaryota; Metazoa; Chordata; Mammalia; Rodentia; Muridae.